This is a non-coding RNA of Drosophila bipectinata, 475 nucleotides long. NCBI's taxonomy places the organism in Eukaryota, Metazoa, Arthropoda, Insecta, Diptera, Drosophilidae. The record is from RefSeq and is a predicted model, not a curated record.
UGUGGUUCCUCCACAUAUUCCGUCUCGACCCAUAGAUCAGAUGGUACUUCUUGAUUCUUCCCGAUUAUAGCCGAUUCCGGCCAACCCCAGCCGAGCUGUCGGAAUAACCGCAAAUAAAAUUCAAUUUCGUAAAAGGCUUUUAAGAAAUUAAAUUCUAGAUGUUGCUGAUCCGACAGCUCGGCUAGGACUGAACUCUGGAUAUGUAUUUUCUAGAAACCUGCCAUUCGAAGGCCUACUUUGAUUAAGAUGGAAGGACUUUAAGGACACUUGAGACAGCAGCCAGGAAAGACGCCAGUGAACCGAUCCUUGUUAACGCAUGUGAUUUUUUGUUUGGAGCAACUGUUGAAUAGGAAAAUAAGGAUAAUAUUAAGGAUAUCCAAAGAUGUCAUCUACUUACUCCUCCACGAUGGUCUUGAAGGUGUCCGUGCAAAUGGCCCGCUUGAGACACUUUCCCUCCUUUCCAAAGUCCACAUAG